GUUGGAUUUCAAUCUGUGAUUUGGGUGUCAACUGAAUCUCUCAUUGGUUCAGAGUUUAAUCUGAUCCGAGCUGAUCUUUUGGGGACAAUUUUUUGUUUGAAAAGUUGGAAAAUUUUAGUACAAUUUGCACGUAAUGAAUCCUACUCCCCUGUGGCGUGGAUCUUCACUUUCGGAUGCAUUUUAAUUUAAAAUUAAAAAUCCUAAUUGGCUUAAAAGUUUUUCACUAAAUUGGAAAAAUAAGUUUUCGUGUUUUUAAAUUUUUCAAAAAGAAGGUCACAAGUUAACUUCGCAUUUUUAUUACAAUUUAUUUCACACAAAAUUGUAAAAUCUCAUUUGUGCAGAUUUUAUUCUGAUCCGAGCUGAUCUUUUGGGGAAACUUUUUGUUUGCAAAGUUUGAAAAUUUUUGGUGACCGAAAUCUGACCUCUCUCUCCAUCCGCACCUCUCCUCUGCGUCAUCUGGUCUCUAAUGUAGCCCUCCAUCUUGCUCGUGUGAUGGUUGUAGGGGUGUGGCUG
This is a long non-coding RNA of Folsomia candida, 513 nucleotides long. RefSeq lists it as uncharacterized. The record is from RefSeq and is a predicted model, not a curated record. Lineage: Eukaryota; Metazoa; Arthropoda; Collembola; Entomobryomorpha; Isotomidae. The transcript is spliced from 3 exons.